GAUGAACGCUGGCGGCGUGCUUAACACAUGCAAGUCGAACGAUGAACCUCACUUGUGGGGGGAUUAGUGGCGAACGGGUGAGUAACACGUGAGUAACCUGCCCUUAACUCUGGGAUAAGCCUGGGAAACUGGGUCUAAUACCGGAUAUGACUCCUCAUCGCAUGGUGGGGGGUGGAAAGCUUUUUGUGGUUUUGGAUGGA
RNAcentral lists this ribosomal RNA (200 nucleotides) under uncultured bacterium. RNAcentral describes it as "partial 16S ribosomal RNA". It matches the Rfam family "Bacterial small subunit ribosomal RNA", at positions 28 to 229 of the family's 1533-position model. The record is from RNAcentral.